AGAGGUCCAGCCUGCCCAGUGACAUAGUUUAACGGCCGCGGUACCCUAACCGUGCGAAGGUAGCAUAAUCACUUGUUCUUUAAAUAGGGACUCGUAUCAACGGCAUCACGAGGGCUAUGCUGUCUCCUUUCUCCAAUCAAUGAAACUGAUCUCCCCGUGAAGAAGCGGGGAUUGACCUAUAAGACGAGAAGACCCCAUGGAGCUUCAAACUCAACAUACACCUCUACGCACCUAAAUCACUUUAGCCCAAGAGAUCUGUCUGUUAGUUUUGGGUUGGGGGGACCGCGGAGUAAAAAUUAACCUCCACGACAAACGGGCCUAACGCCCUUAUCCACGAACUUCAACUCUAAGAAUCAAUAAACUGAUGUUUAUGACCCGAUUAUUCGAUCAACGAACCAAGUUACCCUGGGGAUAACAGCGCAAUCUACUUCAAGAGCCCCUAUCGACAAGUAGGUUUACGACCUCGAUGUUGGAUCAGGGUAUCCUAGUGGUGCAGCCGCUACUAAAGGUUCGUUUGUUCAACGAU
Molecule: ribosomal RNA, 526 nt
Filed under: Pelophylax porosus brevipodus (dharma pond frog)
Lineage: Eukaryota; Metazoa; Chordata; Amphibia; Anura; Ranidae
Description: partial 16S rRNA
Rfam family: Bacterial large subunit ribosomal RNA
Source: RNAcentral